Podarcis lilfordi (Lilford's wall lizard) is the source of this 69-nucleotide non-coding RNA. NCBI's taxonomy places the organism in Eukaryota, Metazoa, Chordata, Lepidosauria, Squamata, Lacertidae. The record is from the annotation of a GenBank genome assembly.
UGGAUAAGGCUCAUGCACUGCACUUCGGGUGUGCUGACCCCUGUGAUUUCCCCAAAUGCGGGAAAUUCA